This 733-nucleotide ribosomal RNA is filed under the name Salmonella enterica subsp. enterica serovar Thompson. RNAcentral describes it as "partial 23S ribosomal RNA". It matches the Rfam family "Bacterial large subunit ribosomal RNA", at positions 2202 to 2925 of the family's 2925-position model. Lineage: Bacteria; Pseudomonadati; Pseudomonadota; Gammaproteobacteria; Enterobacterales; Enterobacteriaceae. The record is from RNAcentral. RNAcentral also lists the same sequence under 2 other names.
ACCCUUUAAUGUUUGAUGUUCUAACGUGGACCCGUGAUCCGGGUUGCGGACAGUGUCUGGUGGGUAGUUUGACUGGGGCGGUCUCCUCCUAAAGAGUAACGGAGGAGCACGAAGGUUGGCUAAUCCUGGUCGGACAUCAGGAGGUUAGUGCAAUGGCAUAAGCCAGCUUGACUGCGAGCGUGACGGCGCGAGCAGGUGCGAAAGCAGGUCAUAGUGAUCCGGUGGUUCUGAAUGGAAGGGCCAUCGCUCAACGGAUAAAAGGUACUCCGGGGAUAACAGGCUGAUACCGCCCAAGAGUUCAUAUCGACGGCGGUGUUUGGCACCUCGAUGUCGGCUCAUCACAUCCUGGGGCUGAAGUAGGUCCCAAGGGUAUGGCUGUUCGCCAUUUAAAGUGGUACGCGAGCUGGGUUUAGAACGUCGUGAGACAGUUCGGUCCCUAUCUGCCGUGGGCGCUGGAGAACUGAGGGGGGCUGCUCCUAGUACGAGAGGACCGGAGUGGACGCAUCACUGGUGUUCGGGUUGUCAUGCCAAUGGCACUGCCCGGUAGCUAAAUGCGGAAGAGAUAAGUGCUGAAAGCAUCUAAGCACGAAACUUGCCCCGAGAUGAGUUCUCCCUGAGACUUUAGGUCUCCUGAAGGAACGUUGAAGACGACGACGUUGAUAGGCCGGGUGUGUAAGCGCAGCGAUGCGUUGAGCUAACCGGUACUAAUGAACCGUGAGGCUUAACCUUACAA